CCCUUAGAUGUCCUGGGCCGCACGCGCGCUACACUGAUGCAUGCAACGAGUUUAUAACCUUGGCCUGAAAGGUCUGGGUAAUCUUUUGAACGUGCAUCGUGAUAGGGAUUGAUUAUUGCAAUUGUUAAUCUUGAACGAGGAAUUCCUAGUAAACGCGAGUCAUCAGCUCGCAUUGAUUACGUCCCUGCCCUUUGUACACACCGCCCGUCGCACCUACCGAUUGAAUGGUUCGGUGAAGAUCUCGGACUUCGAUAUUUAUUCUUUAUUGAGUUUAUAUUGUGGGAAGUUAUCUAAACCUCAUCAUUUAGAGGAAGGUGAAGUCGUAACA
RNAcentral lists this ribosomal RNA (328 nucleotides) under uncultured eukaryote. RNAcentral describes it as "partial 18S ribosomal RNA". It matches the Rfam family "Eukaryotic small subunit ribosomal RNA", at positions 1470 to 1796 of the family's 1831-position model. The record is from RNAcentral.